GCUGGUGGCGAUGCGCUUAGGGGACACACCCGUUCCCAUCCCGAACACGAUGGUUAAGACCUAAGCGGCCGAUGGUACUGCACUGGAGACGGUGUGGGAGAGCAGGUG
RNAcentral lists this ribosomal RNA (108 nucleotides) under Blautia sp. AM47-4. The record is from RNAcentral. Lineage: Bacteria; Bacillati; Bacillota; Clostridia; Lachnospirales; Lachnospiraceae. RNAcentral also lists the same sequence under 1 other name.